CGAGGUCACAAAUAAAAAAUUUACAGGUCACAGAUUAUUUCAAGUCCAAAUUACUUGCUUACAGAUUAUUAAAUUUUUAUGUCACACUAAAUAGAUGGUCACAAAUAACUAAAUGGUUGGUCAGAAACGCCAAUUUUUUGGUUAUAGACAAUCAAAUCAUCUGGGACCACCUGUUGUGACCACUAUCUCACCACUACCAAUAACCACAUCGUCGUCAAAACUGUCGCUGCCUCCACCACCAUCUCUAGCAGCCCCGUCAUCUCAGAUACUGCAACUAACACCACCUCACCACAAACAAAACAGAUACAAAACCACCAACACCCUACAAAAGCCAUCAUUGUAACGUCAUCACCACUUCACCAUCUCCACCACCACCACAACCACCAUUUAUACCAACAAAAACUAUCACCAUGCACAACACCACCACGACCAUUGUUGUUCACAGAAACAUUGGUCGGUAAACCACCACCAGCAUCAUCUAUCCUUACUACCGCACCACCACCACCGUUGAACACCACUGCCAGAGCCAUCCCUAUCACAACAUGAAAAUCAGUCAACAUCAUUCACACUGCCAGCAGCAAUCCACCGUCACACCCACCGAUCGCACACCUAUACCUCUACCUCCACCGCACCAUAGCACCAUAGCACCACUGCACCACCACCGUGACAACAUAGCAUAUCAUUGCCGCACCACACACCUGACACCAUCAUCGCACCGUACACAUCCACCACCGAACCAUCAAUCACCACCACUCAAAAGUUCAAAAAAAAAGGUAAGUUAGUAGAUCUGCAGCUCACACAGCUGCUAUUGUUGAGAGAAGAGAAAUUAGGAAGAUCCUCUUCCAGUGGCAGCGCCGCUACUGUUGAGAGAAGAGAAGAUACGUGACUGCAUGUGUUUAGAAAGAGAGAGAGAAGAGUGGGACGGGAUUGGGGAAGCAAUCACUCCCUGUGGUCUCCGGUAAUGGGCGGUAGUGCUUGAGGCGUGGAGAGAGUGAGGAGAGAAGAUGGAGUGAAAAUGAAAAUUUUAGGGUUUGAAAUUUGAAUGGAUAAGAUGGGUACCUGAUUUGUGAUUAAACAAAC
RNAcentral lists this long non-coding RNA (1080 nucleotides) under Olea europaea subsp. europaea. Lineage: Eukaryota; Viridiplantae; Streptophyta; Magnoliopsida; Lamiales; Oleaceae. The record is from RNAcentral.